RNAcentral lists this unclassified non-coding RNA (502 nucleotides) under Hevea brasiliensis (rubber tree). The record is from RNAcentral. Lineage: Eukaryota; Viridiplantae; Streptophyta; Magnoliopsida; Malpighiales; Euphorbiaceae.
AUCAGAGCCUCUGUUAAAUCUCUUAAUAAAUUAGCUAAAGCUCUAAUUAAUCGAAAUAAGCAGCUGAAAUCAAAGUAACUAGUGAUACUGGAGCACUAAAUAUCUAAAAAUAUGCUCUUGCCCUCUUGUGCGCACUCAUGGUAGCCUGCUCCAGUCCUUUAUGAAACAUUCGUUAUUGGGUUAGCCAUAGCCAUACUCUUCACAUGUUUCUAGUGAUUCACAAUGACAAUCAAAAUUCAGAACUCCGUUAUCAUGGUAUAAGCCCAAAGAAAAAGAGGGAAAUUUAAGGAGCACUGCUAAACAUAAUCAUUAGCAGUGAUGACAUUUGUAUUUGUAUGCAUGCUCAAUGAAUUUGAAAAUUUUCAUACAAUAAUAGUACUUUUUUUUUAUAUAUAGUAGUAAUUAUCAAAGGAGAAAAUUUCAAAGCUGCACUUAAUACUGGUUCUGUGUAGGCCUUGCCAUGCAAAUCCGUUAAUUUCAAUCAUUUCAUUCUGAAUUCAAA